UUCCUUGAACCGCAUGGUUCAAGGAUGAAAGACGGUUUCGGCUGUCACUUACAGAUGGACCCGCGGCGCAUUAGCUAGUUGGUGGGGUAAUGGCUCACCAAGGCGACGAUGCGUAGCCGACCUGAGAGGGUGAUCGGCCACACUGGGACUGAGACACGGCCCAGACUCCUACGGGAGGCAGCAGUAGGGAAUCUUCCGCAAUGGACGAAAGUCUGACGGAGCAACGCCGCGUGAGUGAUGAAGGUUUUCGGAUCGUAAAGCUCUGUUGUUAGGGAAGAACAAGUGCGAGAGUAACUGCUCGCACCUUGACGGUACCUAACCAGAAAGCCACGGCUAACUACGUGCCAGCAGCCGCGGUAAUACGUAGGUGGCAAGCGUUGUCCGGAAUUAUUGGGCGUAAAGGGCUCGCAGGCGGUUUCUUAAGUCUGAUGUGAAAGCCCCCGGCUCAACCGGGGAGGGUCAUUGGAAACUGGGAAACUUGAGUGCAGAAGAGGAGAGUGGAAUUCCACGUGUAGCGGUGAAAUGCGUAGAGAUGUGGAGGAACACCAGUGGCGAAAGGCGACUCUC
This 567-nucleotide ribosomal RNA is filed under the name Bacillus pumilus. RNAcentral describes it as "bacterial SSU rRNA". It matches the Rfam family "Bacterial small subunit ribosomal RNA", at positions 173 to 729 of the family's 1533-position model. Lineage: Bacteria; Bacillati; Bacillota; Bacilli; Caryophanales; Bacillaceae. The record is from RNAcentral.